GUCAUUACUGUAGUCAUAGUUUUUACAGUAGGAGCAGCUUGCUUCGCCAUAUGAAACGACAUCUUAUAACUAGAGAAAGAUAUCGAUGUGGUGUGUGCUCAAGAACAUACAGUCGGCGAGAUAAUCUGAAAAGACAUAUGGAGGAAACUCACCCUAAUGAAACUUCACACUGGACAGUGCAACACCCAUUGUGACUGCCAAAAUAUUUAUCUCAGAAACACCAUACUAUGAAGCUUGUGACAAGAAGAUAAUGCAUUACUAGCAGGCCUCCCGGUGAAACAUUUAGUGUCAAAAUAGGCUAAAACUUUUAGAUUUGAAGGUAAACCUAUAUUGUUUAAACAUUUUGUCACCAAAUUUUCAAUACUGUAGUCAUGAUAUUAUCAUAAUUAUCUAAUACAGAUAUAUGGAAAUAUAAUUGUUUUGCAACAAAUUUUAUGUGAAAGAGUAAACCAGACUUCAUUAUCAGUAGUGUCAAAACUUUCAAUAUAAAUUUUCUGUCAUCACAAAGUAAUGCAAAUUUUACAGAUGGGUAUAGAAAUUCACAUUUAUUAUCAGUAAAAUAUAAUUUGUAUAUAUCCAAAUCUAUAUAUUUGGGUUUGUCAAGUCACAAUUUAUUCCUUAUUUUUAGAAAGGGGGAAACUUUUUUGAAAAUUUAUUUUUGCAGUGACCCACUGGGAGGCCUGUACUAGUGUUGCCCAAGAUUAGGAAAGAUGAGUAACACUACAGCUGUGAAAAAGUUUGGAUCUUUUUAUAAAUAUGCUUUUUGAUUGUUUUAUUCUAUCUUUUUGAAAAUUACUUAUCAUUGGUAGAUAUCUUUCAUCAUGGCUUGUUUAAUUUUACAAUUAGGUAUGAAAUAAGGAACAUUUACUGAAAAAUUCAUUGGAGACAAGUAAACUAAACAUUAAAGGCUUAGAAUGUCCUCAUUAGAAUGUUGAACUAUAAAGGACCUUUGUUCAGUUUCUGGACUUAGGAUUAACAAAGUACCAAAACUUGUAGUGUUGACACAAUGUUAAUGAUUAUUUUUUCCUUUUAAAAUAUAAAGAAGAAGAAAAGGUUUGAUCUACAAGCAAUUCUGAAUGAAAGUGCUUGUAUAAGAGCCAUUUAUUUUGCUGAAAAGUUUUUAUGUUGUGAUAUGCAUAACAAAAUGCAAGUUUUCAUAUUACAUUUUUAAUAAAUCUAGUCAUUGGAAUCCUGUA
This is a long non-coding RNA of Limulus polyphemus (Atlantic horseshoe crab), 1196 nucleotides long. RefSeq lists it as uncharacterized. The record is from RefSeq and is a predicted model, not a curated record. The transcript is spliced from 2 exons. Lineage: Eukaryota; Metazoa; Arthropoda; Merostomata; Xiphosura; Limulidae.